GACGAACGCUGGCGGCGUGCUUAACACAUGCAAGUCGAACGGAAAGGCCCUGCUUUUGUGGGGUGCUCGAGUGGCGAACGGGUGAGUAACACGUGAGUAACCUGCCCUUUACUUUGGGAUAACUUCAGGAAACUGGGGCUAAUACCGGAUAGGAGCUCCUGCUGCAUGGUGGGGGUUGGAAAGUUUCGGCGGGUGGGGAUGGACUCGCGGCUUAUCAGCUUGUUGGUGGGGUAGUGGCUUACCAAGGCUUUGACGGGUAGCCGGCCUGAGAGGGUGACCGGCCACAUUGGGACUGAGAUACGGCCCAGACUCCUACGGGAGGCAGCAGUGGGGAAUAUUGCACAAUGGGCGGAAGCCUGAUGCAGCAACGCCGCGUGCGGGAUGACGGCCUUCGGGUUGUAAACCGCUUUCGCCUGUGACGAAGCGUGAGUGACGGUAAUGGGUAAAGAAGCACCGGCUAACUACGUG
Molecule: ribosomal RNA, 468 nt
Filed under: uncultured bacterium
Lineage: Bacteria
Description: partial 16S ribosomal RNA
Rfam family: Bacterial small subunit ribosomal RNA
Source: RNAcentral